AAACUGGGCCCGCGAGAGAAGGCGCGGCGGAAACCUUCUCCAAACCCCAUCCUGGAAGCCUUUUACAGGAAGCGGAGGAAACGUCCCCAAAAGGGGGAAGUCAGCAGCUUGGCCAAGCAGUGCGACCUCCACCCAAGGAAGGUAGAGAGGUGGUUUCGAUGCCGCCUGAAUCAGGACCGGCCCAGCUUGACGAAGAAAUUCUCUGAAGCCAGCUGGAGAGGCACCUACCAUUUUAUUUCCUUCU
Non-coding RNA from Python bivittatus (Burmese python), 244 nucleotides. The record is from RefSeq and is a predicted model, not a curated record. NCBI's taxonomy places the organism in Eukaryota, Metazoa, Chordata, Lepidosauria, Squamata, Pythonidae.